This is a small nucleolar RNA of Pistacia vera, 107 nucleotides long. The record is from RefSeq and is a predicted model, not a curated record. NCBI's taxonomy places the organism in Eukaryota, Viridiplantae, Streptophyta, Magnoliopsida, Sapindales, Anacardiaceae.
AUCUGAUGGUGAGGACAGCUUGCACAUAGCUUCUUGAAUCGCUCCCAAUAUUCAUACAAUGUCUCCCCAUUAUAUUGCCUUAUACCACAUAUCUCUUUCUUGAUGGU